Kwoniella shandongensis is the source of this 94-nucleotide non-coding RNA. The record is from the annotation of a GenBank genome assembly. NCBI's taxonomy places the organism in Eukaryota, Fungi, Basidiomycota, Tremellomycetes, Tremellales, Cryptococcaceae.
UCCGAAUUAGUACAGUGGUUAGUAUAGCCGCCUUUCAGGAGAUCUUCAACGAUCAACUACGCGGUCGACCGGGGUUCGAACCCCCGAUUCGGAA